ACGGGUGAGUAACACGUAGGAACCUGCCCAGAAGUGGGGGAUAACUAAUGGAAACGUUAGCUAAUACCGCAUACAUUCGGGAGAAGAAAGCUGCCGCAAGGUGGCGCUUUUGGAGGGGCCUGCGUCCGAUUAGCUAGUUGGUGAGGUAAUAGCUUACCAAGGCGAUGAUCGGUAACUGGUCUGAGAGGACGACCAGUCACACUGGGACUGAGACACGGCCCAGACUCCUACGGGAGGCAGCAGUGGGGAAUCUUGGACAAUGGGGGCAACCCUGAUCCAGCGAUGCCGCGUGAGUGAAGAAGGCCCUCGGGUCGUAAAGCUCUUUAGGCUGGGAAGAAGGUUAUGUGAGGAAAUACAUGUAAUUUGACUGUACCAGCAGAAUAAGCACCGGCAAACUCUGUGCCAGCAGCCGCGGUAAUACAGAGGGUGCGAGCGUUAAUCGGAGUAACUGGGCGUAAAGGGCGCGUAGGCGGUUUAGUGAGUGUGGUGUGAAAGCCCCGGGCUUAACCUGGGAAGUGCAUCGCAAACGACUAGACUAGAGUAGAUGAGAGGGUGAUGGAAUUUCCGGUGUAGCGGUGA
This 579-nucleotide ribosomal RNA is filed under the name uncultured bacterium. RNAcentral's name for it is "bacterial SSU rRNA". It matches the Rfam family "Bacterial small subunit ribosomal RNA", at positions 102 to 684 of the family's 1533-position model. The record is from RNAcentral.